This 406-nucleotide long non-coding RNA is filed under the name Gallus gallus (chicken). Its description in RNAcentral is "lncRNA (ENSGALG00010003480.1)". The record is from RNAcentral. Lineage: Eukaryota; Metazoa; Chordata; Aves; Galliformes; Phasianidae.
AGGUCCCGGAAGCACUGCAGGAAGUGACGGUCAUUUCCACCCCCACCGCCCCCCAUCCCCCCCCGGGGCACCGCAGCCGCCCCCAUCCGCCCCCAACAGGGCCGCAGGAGCGCAGUGGGGAGCCGUGGGUGCCCGACAUGCUGAGCUCGGGGGACGAGGACCCCCCGCAGCCCCUGCUGUGGGUUUGGGUCCGGAGGAGGAGGAGGUGGAGGAGCUGCCCCAACACCGGGACGUCCUCCGGCUCCUCCUGCUCAGUUCUCAUCCCUUCCCCAUCAUUCCCACCCCCUUCCCGUGGUUCCCAUCCCUCAUUUCCACCCCCUUCCCACCCCCUUCCCAUCCCGUUCCCAUUCUUCCCAUCCCCUUUCCACGCUCCCCAUCCCAGGGGUGCAUUUCCCCCCCAUCCCCG